GGUAGGGUGGCCGAGAGUAGGUGGCAGGUUGUAGCCCUGUUUAGGCGGGUUUAAAUCCUGCCCCUAUCAA
This 70-nucleotide transfer RNA is filed under the name Plestiodon quadrilineatus. RNAcentral describes it as "tRNA-Tyr". It matches the Rfam family "tRNA". Rfam says of the family: Transfer RNA (tRNA) molecules are approximately 80 nucleotides in length. The record is from RNAcentral. Lineage: Eukaryota; Metazoa; Chordata; Lepidosauria; Squamata; Scincidae.